UCCCUGCUGGCUCAGAUGGUAGAGUCUGCCUGCAGUGCAGGAGACCUGGGUUCAAUUCCUGGGUUGGGAA
Molecule: transfer RNA, 70 nt
Organism: Ovis aries (sheep)
Lineage: Eukaryota; Metazoa; Chordata; Mammalia; Artiodactyla; Bovidae
Rfam family: tRNA
About the family: Transfer RNA (tRNA) molecules are approximately 80 nucleotides in length.
Source: Rfam